UACGAAGGGGGCUAGCGUUGCUCGGAAUCACUGGGCGUAAAGGGUGCGUAGGCGGGUUCUUAAGUCGGAGGGUGAAAUCCUGGAGCUCAACUCCAGAACUGCCUUUGAUACUGAAGGAUCUUGAGUUCCGGGAGAGGUGAGUGGAACUGCGAGUGUAGAGGUGAAAUUCGUAGAUAUUCGCAAGAACACCAGUGGCGAAGGCGGCUCACUGGCCCGGUACUGACGCUGAGGUGCGAAAGCGUGGGGAGCAAACAGG
RNAcentral lists this ribosomal RNA (256 nucleotides) under uncultured bacterium. RNAcentral's name for it is "partial 16S ribosomal RNA". It matches the Rfam family "Bacterial small subunit ribosomal RNA", at positions 524 to 776 of the family's 1533-position model. The record is from RNAcentral.